UAUACCAGCUAUCAAAAAGUUGUCAAUUUAGAAAUUGUAGCAAAUUUAAUUUUCUACAAUUUACCAGUUGAAAAUUUUUU
Molecule: non-coding RNA, 80 nt
Organism: Caenorhabditis elegans
Lineage: Eukaryota; Metazoa; Nematoda; Chromadorea; Rhabditida; Rhabditidae
Source: Ensembl